GAGUAAGGGAUAUUUGUAAUCACUGAUCUUGAGAGAUCGACCAAAUAAUGUAAGCUGAUCAUUUGAAAAUGAAAUGUACUUUUACUUAUUAAAAUUGAUUUCGUUUAUUCUGCUUUUAUUUUAUCAUUGCAUUGAUUAUUUUUUCGAUCUCUAUUAAUUGUAUCUGAUCUGAUCCCUAAUCGAAUCCCAAAUUCCACCGAUCUCCUUCGUCCGAACUUCGUUAUUAUCCACUUUAUGGUAACUCCCUGCAACCGCCCUUACUUGCUCAAUCUUCCUGCUUCUGGAAUUUUCCUUUCACGCAAAAUUGAAGUGACUGGAUUUUCGCUAAUCGAUGCGUCACUUAGGGUAUCGCGAGCAUUUAAUGGUUGGACUAGUAUAA
This 379-nucleotide unclassified non-coding RNA is filed under the name Hevea brasiliensis (rubber tree). Lineage: Eukaryota; Viridiplantae; Streptophyta; Magnoliopsida; Malpighiales; Euphorbiaceae. The record is from RNAcentral.